GACUCUUUCGUCUAAUGGUUAGGACACCACCCUUUCACAGUAGUAACACGGGUUCAAGUCCCCUAAGAGUCA
This 72-nucleotide transfer RNA is filed under the name Wolbachia endosymbiont of Atemnus politus. RNAcentral describes it as "tRNA-Glu". It matches the Rfam family "tRNA". Rfam says of the family: Transfer RNA (tRNA) molecules are approximately 80 nucleotides in length. Lineage: Bacteria; Pseudomonadati; Pseudomonadota; Alphaproteobacteria; Rickettsiales; Anaplasmataceae. The record is from RNAcentral.